This 244-nucleotide ribosomal RNA is filed under the name uncultured bacterium. Its description in RNAcentral is "partial 16S ribosomal RNA". It matches the Rfam family "Bacterial small subunit ribosomal RNA", at positions 92 to 339 of the family's 1533-position model. The record is from RNAcentral.
CGAGUGGCGGACGGGUGAGUAACGUAUCGGAACGUACCCAGUCGUGGGGGAUAACUAUCCGAAAGGAUAGCUAAUACCGCAUACGACCUGAGGGUGAAAGCGGGGGAUCGCAAGACCUCGCGCGAUUGGAGCGGCCGAUAUCGGAUUAGCUAGUUGGUGGGGUAAAGGCUCACCAAGGCGACGAUCCGUAGCUGGUUUGAGAGGACGACCAGCCACACUGGGACUGAGACACGGCCCAGACUCC